GACGAACGCUGGCGGCGUGCCUAAUACAUGCAAGUUGAGCGCUGAAGGUUGGUACUUGUACCGACUGGAUGAGCAGCGAACGGGUGAGUAACGCGUGGGGAAUCUGCCUUUGAGCGGGGGACAACAUUUGGAAACGAAUGCUAAUACCGCAUAAAAACUUUAAACACAAGUUUUAAGUUUGAAAGAUGCAACUGCAUCACUCAAAGAUGAUCCCGCGUUGUAUUAGCUAGUUGGUGAGGUAAAGGCUCACCAAGGCGAUGAUACAUAGCCGACCUGAGAGGGUGAUCGGCCAAAUUGGGACUGAGAAACGGCACAAAAGCCUAAGGGAGGCAGCAGGAGGGAAACUUCGGAAAUGGACGAAAGUCUGACCAAGCAACGCCGCGUGAGUGAAGAAGGGUGUCGGAUCGUAAAACUCUGUUGGUAGAGAAGAACGUUGGUGAGAGUGGAAAGCUCAUCAAGUGACGGUAACUACCCAGAAAGGGACGGCUAACUACGUG
RNAcentral lists this ribosomal RNA (497 nucleotides) under uncultured bacterium. RNAcentral's name for it is "partial 16S ribosomal RNA". It matches the Rfam family "Bacterial small subunit ribosomal RNA", at positions 28 to 507 of the family's 1533-position model. The record is from RNAcentral.